UCAAGCAUUGAGGUUGGGUUGUAGUGAAGUACGCAAUCCUAUAAGCUGAGAUGUGAUGCGGACCGAAAUUUCAGUAGGGAAGCGAGUGAGUUCACGCUGGCGAGAAAAGCUGCUAGUACAUCCAAAGGUACCCGUACCGGAAACCGACGCAGGUGGGCGAGGAGAGAAUCCUGAGACGAACGGGAGAACCCUUGCUAAGGAACUCGGCAAAAUGACCCCGUAACUUCGGGAUAAGGGGUGCCUGCGAGAGCAGGCCGCAGAGAAUAGUCACAAGCGACUGUUUAGCAAAAACACAGGUAUCUGCGAAAGCGAGAGCUGACGUAUAGGUGCUGACACCUGCCCGGUGCUGGAAGGUUAAGGGAACAUGUUAGAGCAAUCGAAGCAUCGAACCGAAGCCCCAGUAAACGGCGGCCGUAACAAUAACGGUCCUAAGGUAGCGAAAUUCCUUGUCGGGUAAGUUCCGACCCGCACGAAUGGUGUAACGACUUGUGAGCUGUCUCAACAGGGGGCCCGGUGAAAUUGAAGUAUGGGUGAAGAUGCCCAUUACCCGCGACUGGACGGAAAGACCCCGUAGAGCUUUACUGCAGCCUGAUAUUGAGUUUCGGUAACUGAUGCACAGGAUAGGUGGGAGUCUGAGAGACAUGGGUUUCGGCUCAUGUGGAGACGGUGUUGGGAUACCACUCUUCGGUUACUGAAAUUCUAACAUAGCUCUGUGAAACCAGAGGAUGGACAGUGUCAGGUGGACAGUUUGACUGGGGCGGUCGCCUCCGAAAGAGUAACGGAGGCGCCCAAAGGUACCCUCAGAAUGGAUGGAAACCAUUCGAAGAGCGCAAAGGCAGAAGGGUGCCUGACUGCGAGAUUGACAAAUCGAGCAGAGACGAAAGUCGGACUUAGUGAUCCGGCGGUAUUGAGUGGAAAAGCCGUCGCUUAACGGAUAAAAGCUACCUCGGGGAUAACAGGCUGAUCUCCCCCAAGAGUCCACAUCGACGGGGAGGUUUGGCACCUCGAUGUCGGCUCGUCGCAUCCUGGGGCUGAAGCAGGUCCCAAGGGUUUGGCUGUUCGCCAAUUAAAGCGGCACGCGAGCUGGGUUCAGAACGUCGUGAGACAGCUCGGUCCCUAUCCAUCGUGGGCGUAGGAGUCAUGAGAGGAGCUGUUCCUAGUACGAGAGGACCGGAAUGGACGCACCACUGGUGCAACUGUUGUCGUGCCAACGGCAUAGCAGGGAAGCGAAGUGCGGAUGGGAUAAACGCUGAAGGCAUCUAAGCGUGAAGCCCACCUCAAGAAUAAGACUCCACAAUAGACCCCUGGAGGACUACCAGGUAGAUAGGUCAUCGGUGGAAGCGCUGUAAGGCGUGUAGCUUGAUGAUACUAAUCGGUCGAAAGCUC
RNAcentral lists this ribosomal RNA (1386 nucleotides) under metagenome. RNAcentral's name for it is "bacterial LSU rRNA". It matches the Rfam family "Bacterial large subunit ribosomal RNA", at positions 1512 to 2925 of the family's 2925-position model. The record is from RNAcentral.